UACGUAGGGUGCGAGCGUUGUCCGGAAUUAUUGGGCGUAAAGAGCUCGUAGGCGGUUUGUCGCGUCGGCUGUGAAAUCCCGAGGCUUAACCUCGGGCCUGCAGUCGAUACGGGCAGACUAGAGUUCGGUAGGGGAGACUGGAAUUCCUGGUGUAGCGGUGAAAUGCGCAGAUAUCAGGAGGAACACCGGUGGCGAAGGCGGGUCACUGGGCCGAUACUGACGCUGAGGAGCGAAAGCGUGGGGAGCGAACAGG
RNAcentral lists this ribosomal RNA (253 nucleotides) under uncultured bacterium. RNAcentral describes it as "partial 16S ribosomal RNA". It matches the Rfam family "Bacterial small subunit ribosomal RNA", at positions 524 to 776 of the family's 1533-position model. The record is from RNAcentral.